RNAcentral lists this transfer RNA (73 nucleotides) under Paraplanobispora siamensis. RNAcentral describes it as "Planobispora siamensis tRNA-Gly". RNAcentral also lists the same sequence under 1 other name. The record is from RNAcentral. Lineage: Bacteria; Bacillati; Actinomycetota; Actinomycetes; Streptosporangiales; Streptosporangiaceae.
GUGGGUGAGGUGUCAGCGGAAGCACGCGACCGUGCCGAGGUCGAAGGACGGGUUCGAGUCCCGUCGCCCACUC